AGUGAGGGUCCGUGACUCAGUGGCAGAGUGUCUGCUUGGCAGGCAGAAGGUACCAGGUUCGAUCCCCGGCUCCACCA
Molecule: transfer RNA, 77 nt
Filed under: Sphaerodactylus townsendi
Lineage: Eukaryota; Metazoa; Chordata; Lepidosauria; Squamata; Sphaerodactylidae
Description: tRNA-Ala
Rfam family: tRNA (bases 6-74)
About the family: Transfer RNA (tRNA) molecules are approximately 80 nucleotides in length.
Source: RNAcentral